AUGAACGCUGGCGGCGUGCCUAAUACAUGCAAGUCGAGCGAACGGACGAGAAGCUUGCUUCUCUGAUGUUAGCGGCGGACGGGUGAGUAACACGUGGAUAACCUACCUAUAAGACUGGGAUAACUUCGGGAAACCGGAGCUAAUACCGGAUAAUAUUUUGAACCGCAUGGUUCAAAAGUGAAAGACGGUCUUGCUGUCACUUAUAGAUGGAUCCGCGCUGCAUUAGCUAGUUGGUAAGGUAACGGCUUACCAAGGCAACGAUGCAUAGCCGACCUGAGAGGGUGAUCGGCCACACUGGAACUGAGACACGGUCUAGACUCCUACGGGAGGCAGCAGUAGGGAAUCUUCCGCAAUGGGCGAAAGCCUGACGGAGCAACGCCGCGUGAGUGAUGAAGGUCUUCGGAUCGUAAAACUCUGUUAUUAGGGAAGAACAUAUGUGUAAGUAACUGUGCACAUCUUGACGGUACCUAAUCAGAAAGCCACGGCUAACUACGUG
Molecule: ribosomal RNA, 496 nt
Filed under: uncultured bacterium
Lineage: Bacteria
Description: partial 16S ribosomal RNA
Rfam family: Bacterial small subunit ribosomal RNA
Source: RNAcentral